This 1782-nucleotide long non-coding RNA is filed under the name Salvia miltiorrhiza (redroot sage). Its description in RNAcentral is "long non-coding RNA (SMIL_LNC006666)". Lineage: Eukaryota; Viridiplantae; Streptophyta; Magnoliopsida; Lamiales; Lamiaceae. The record is from RNAcentral.
AACUAACCCAACAAAUAAAGCUCAGCUUGAAGAUCGAAUGACUAAAAUCAAAGAUGAUCCAUCGUUGAAGCCUAUUUUGGACGAGAUCGAGAAUGGCGGUCCUGCUGCUAUGAUGAGGUCUUGUUUUCUCCAUGAGAUUUUUUUUGUUUAACUUUAUAUAAUUUCUGACUCUCAUAGUCUGUAUGAUAAUGUGGUGUGUGUGAUUGUAGCUGACAACCCUGAAUUUGAAUGGUGUUAUAUGGCGACCAACUGAUCAUACAAAAGGAUGUAAACUUUCAUUUCAGUAUGCAAAUGAAAACAAUUUAGAUGCAUUCUUCUCUAUGACUUUAGAUGGUGGUGAGAAAUCUUGAACUGACAAAAGUUUAUAACUUCAACUUGCUGUCACAAUUGAAUAUUACUUUGAAUUAGAAGAAACCAUCCAUAGUUCUAUCAUUUGAUGAAAUUUGCAAAACUUUCUGGCCGGUGCCAUAGAUGACUGAAAAUUUCUUAAUGAAUUCCUUCAAGGAGUGUCAUUGUCUCACGUUAUAACUUUGACUCAGUGAUAAUUUUUUGCUUUUAAUUUGAAGAAAUUAUCCUUAGUUCUAUCAUUUGCAUAGUUAUCAAUAGUGCAGAUCGCGCUCGCGAUCGCGCGUCGCGUUGCGCACACAUAUCGCACCGCAUCGCGAUGCAGAGGCCAGUGUGUAAUAGCACGCGCUAUUCGCGCUAUUUCCAGAAUGCGCAUCGCGCCAAAUAGCGCGCUAUUGAGAAGUCUUCUGCAUGGGGCUUUUAAUAUUUAAUUAGGUUUUCAAGUGUAGAUAACUUUUAAGUUAAUCCUGAAUCUGAUCGUCCAGUACUCCAACUGGAUUCAGACUCUUCAAUAUUCAAUAUUUAAUUAGGGUUUUAAGUUAUAUAUUACUUAUAACUAAGUCUGAUCGUCCAGUAGUCUCCAACUCAAUUCAGACUCUUCAAUUCUUAUUUUCUUUUAAAGUUAAUCGUUUCAGUUUCUAUCUUCCUCUAAUCCCAAGCGACAGACAGAAUCUUUGGUUCUUGAAGAACCAUUCUGCACUUCUUCUUCCUCUCCUCUUCUCAUAUUCAGUUUCUAUUCUAUGGCAAGUUCAGUUUUUAUUAACUAGACAUAUUAUGCAUGUUUUUCUUAUGAUUAUGAUAUAUAUGCGCGAUAUAUUCAAAUAGCGCGCGCGUCGUGAUGCACGAUAGUGCUAGGACAGCUUUGCGCGAUCGUGCGCGAUUAAUAACUAUGAUCAUUUGAUGUAAUUUGCAAAAGUUUAUUUCUGUUGCCAUAGAUUGCAGAAAUCUUCUUAGUGAAUUUCUUCUAGCCAUAGUCUCAAGCACUCAGAAAGUGGAAACCCUACAGCUCUAAAUAACCUUAGGAGUUCAUGAAGCAGUGGAAAAGAUCCAUAAAUCGGGAUACUUAGCUUACAUACAAUAGAAAAUCUUUCAAUAGAAUCCUUUCUGGUUUAAUCCUAUGAGUCGUGCUGAAUAAUUGUACUUGAUCCUUGACUAGUAAUACUUGUUAAUAUGUAUGUAUUUAUAAGCCAUUCCUCAAAAGUUUUAGACUUUUAGUAUCAAAUCAGUCAUUUCUCUGUCAUUUCCUCACUGAGAAAAUAGUUUAUGGUCAGAUACUGGAAUGACAAAGAUGUUCUCCAGAAGUUGGGUGAAGCCAUGGGAUUUGCUGUUGGCAGUGAAGGUGGUGCAUCUGGUGUUGAUGCUUCUGUUGAAGAUGAGGAUGAAGGAAAUGAUGAGGAAUCUAUUGUUCACCAAACAGCUAGUACUGGCGAUGUGGAG